CAUGAGUCCUUGAAGAUCUUGAAGUCAAUGUGAAAUCAAAAUUGAUGCUAUAAUCUGACAUUACUUUUUUUUUCAACAUUAUGCCACAGUUUUAUAGGGUUUAUUAUUUAAGGUAAAUACAUUAGAAUGUCAAUAAAUUUCCCAACUGAGCAUUAAUUUAGGCCUACCUAAAUGCUAUUUGCACUUUUGUGUGUUUUUUUGUUGAGAAAUAUUGUGUUUGUGUUGAUGUGGUAAACUCUCAGCUAUAGCAGAAGGUCUUAAUCUUCUUCUCCGGAACAGAAUGAGCUUAAAAACCAAAAACCCAAGAGGGAGUUUGAUUUUAAUUAGUUUAUCUGGCGGCUGAAUGGUUGAAAGAGAGCGCGCGCUCUCAGAGAUUAGACACCGUGCUUGAGUGCGCGUGAACGUGAGGGUGCCUGGCGUCUUCGUGGAUCCCCAGAGCCUCUUUAAAAAGCUGAUAUCGGCAAAUUGCUGUCAAAAGCCUUCAGAGCACGUGCCAGCGUUGCCAUUGGCAACCACAACUAAACAGAUGCGGCCAGUGAUGACAACACUUGAAUCUAAUUUGUGAUCAUCUGAUCAGGGGCGCUGGUAUCCCAGCAUGAGAAUCAAAGAGAACCGGAGAAACAGAAGCUGGGCCCGCUGAAUCUAAUGUCAAAGGCCUGCCAGCAGAAGGAAUUCAUUGUGGAAACAAAAACAGC
Molecule: long non-coding RNA, 695 nt
Organism: Cyprinus carpio (common carp)
Lineage: Eukaryota; Metazoa; Chordata; Actinopteri; Cypriniformes; Cyprinidae
Source: Ensembl